Molecule: long non-coding RNA, 2310 nt
Organism: Papaver somniferum (opium poppy)
Lineage: Eukaryota; Viridiplantae; Streptophyta; Magnoliopsida; Ranunculales; Papaveraceae
Exons: 4
Source: RefSeq, a predicted model, not a curated record
CUCAGAAGAAACAGGUCGAAGAGAAACUCAUUUCUCUUCUUCUUCUUCGCCGUUCUUCGCUUUUUUUCUUCUCAACUUAUUCUUUUUUGUUGUUCUUCGCUUUUUUUUUUUUCAGUUCUCAAUAGCAUGAACUGAGAAAUCGUUCAUCUUAAUUAAGAAGAAAUCUGGAGAAGUAAAUGGAUAAGGAAGGUUUUACUAAGGUUGUGAUUUGAUUUUGGUUAGGGUUCUUAUUGAUUGAAGAACGACGAAUCAGUAAGAAAUAAAAUUAGGGUUUCUGAAGUUAGUAUUGAGUUUUUGCAAAAUCGAAGCAGGAAUUGGUGGAUUGAAUAACAGAAAGAGGAUAUGGUGGAUCUGUAUUAACUCGGGUUAUAAAGGCUAGGGUGAAUUAGAGGGAGGAAGUUAGGGUUUGAAAAUUGAUUUAAGUUUCGAUUUAGUGAUAGAUAAGAAGAAAUCAAAGACUGGGUUUGGUGGUUUGAGAUUUAAAUCGAUGUUUUGAACUUUGAUUAGAGAGAAGAAGGUAGUUUUGUUGCAUUUGAGCUGAGAUUUUUCAAGGUGAAGAGAUGGUAGUUUUGUCGUUGAUCUCUCGAUGGAAAAUAUGACGAGGACUUGGACAAUACAGGGUUGGUGGUGAAUCUAUGUGGUCUGAGCUCAAGAUAAGAUGGUGGUUGAAUAGUGUAGUGAAAGGAUAGGUGUUGAUUUCAGUUGAAAAGGUCUGAGUAUGGAGAUGCAGUGAUGUUGGUAUGCAGAAGCUGGCUUGAGAAUGUGUGCAGAUUUGUUGCAGGGAGAAUGGUUGUUGUAGUGGUAGCUGCAAUGGAAUAGAAAAUGGAGCCAAUGAUGCUGCAGGAUGAGUCAGUGUUGGUAGUUGUUGUGCAGGCAAGAAGCUACAGAAGGAGUUGGUGGUGAUUGAAUUUGGUUGAGGCUGAUGCUGUUGUUGGUUUGCAAGCAGCUGCUGCAGGAGAUUGAACUGGUGGGAAUGAAUGAGAAUGAUUGUUGCAGUGGAUAAUUUUCAAGGGUUUGGUGCUGCUGUUGGUAUUAGGCAAAUGGUGUUAGUGGAUGGUUAGAUGAGACUGAAAUGGUGUUGCAGCUACAGAAGGGUGCAAAUGAACUGAAGUUGGUGGUUAUUAUGAUGAAGUUGUUAUUGCAGUUGCAAGUGGUGGCUGCGUCAGGUGGUGUUGAGUAUGGUUGUGAAUUGCAAGUGUUAGCCAUGGUCACAAUGGCUGUGCGAAAGCUGUUCAAACUGGUAGAGCACCACAUACUGAUCACCGUAGGUCAUUGAAGAACUAGAAGGUCUUUCCCAUGAAGACUUGAAGGUCUUGCCCAUGAAGUCCUACAAUGGUACUUAUGUAGAAUGGAAGCAUGGUUCGCUGCAGAUGCAUGCAAGAUAUCAAUGAAAAACUGGGACCAGUUUCCACAUGAAGGACCUAUGUGUGAUCUUUUAUGGUAUGAUCCUGACCGUUGUGGGUGGGGAAUUUCUUCUUGGGAGCUGGCAGCUCCAAUAUAUGUACCGGUAGGAAGGAAACCGACACAAACUGCUCCUUAGAGGAACAAUGCUGAGGAAGAUGUGUUGGCUGCACUCUUGGUCCUGCCUCAGUUGGUGGUGGCCCCUCUCAAAUGGGCUCCACUCAUGUCUAUACAAUGUCACAGUUACCUGUGAAGAGGCCUUUUAGCCCUCUUUGCUCUGAUGGUUUUGCAUUUUUGCUACACAUAGAAUUAUUACUGCAAAAGACCAUGCUUCCACUGUCGUUACAACAUUAAUUGGUAGGUAUUGCAAUCAGUUCGAAAAAUAAUUCAUUAAAUGAAUAUUUGCUAAUGUGUUCCUUUUAGGUGGAUGAAGAAAGCUGUCGAAGCUGGAAAAGCUAAAAGUGCAAAUGGUACCCACCAGGAAGUCUAACUUACCUGUAAUUAUUUUAAACCUAUCUUAGUGUUCUUCUUUGUAUAGUAUUAUCGCCUUUUGCCUCCUUGUUUGUUUUUUAUAGCUGUCUUGCGCAAUUUAAAUAAAAUCUCUCGACAAAUCUUUCAGAAGACAAAUUCAUUUGAGCUUGGGAGAAUUAUAAAUAUUCAUACGCUGCAAGUCUGAAGAGCCUGGAUAAUUUUGUUCUCUCAGGAAAAAAUUUCUAAGCUAACUUAUUUGUGUUUUGAUUGCUGGUAUCUUUCGACCAAUAGGUUUUCAGGACAAAGUGCAUCUUAUGUUGCUGAUCUAGAGUAUAUGCUUACCUUGUAAGUAAAACUCCUUAUAAGGCCCUGAUUUUUCUUUGUCCUGACUCUCGCGAAAACUAUUAUUGUAUACUUAAAGAGUUUUGGACUGCUGAA